This 253-nucleotide ribosomal RNA is filed under the name uncultured bacterium. Its description in RNAcentral is "partial 16S ribosomal RNA". It matches the Rfam family "Bacterial small subunit ribosomal RNA", at positions 524 to 776 of the family's 1533-position model. The record is from RNAcentral.
UACAGAGGGGGCAAGCGUUGUUCGGAAUUACUGGGCGUAAAGGGCGCGUAGGCGGCCCGCUAAGUCGAACGUGAAAUCCCCGGGCUUAACCCGGGAACUGCGUCCGAUACUGGCAGGCUUGAAUCCGGGAGAGGGAUGUGGAAUUCCAGGUGUAGCGGUGAGAUGCGUAGAUAUCUGGAGGAACACCGGUGGCGAAGGCGGCAUCCUGGACCGGUAUUGACGCUGAGGCGCGAAAGCUAGGGGAGCAAACGGG